CAGUCGCCGCGGUAAUACGAAGGGUGCAAGCGUUAAUCGGAAUUACUGGGCGUAAAGCGUACGCAGGCGGUUUGUUAAGUCAGAUGUGAAAUCCCCGAGCUUAACUCGGGAACUGCAUUUGAAACUGGCAGGCUAGAGUCUUGUAGAGGGGGGUAGAAUUCCAGGUGUAGCGGUGAAAUGCGUAGAGAUCUGGAGGAAUACCGGUGGCGAAGGCAAUCCCCUGGACCUGUACUGACGCUCAUGCACGAAAGCGUGGGGAGCAAACAGGAUUAGAUACCCGAGUAGUCCCUGUCUCUUAUAC
RNAcentral lists this ribosomal RNA (301 nucleotides) under uncultured bacterium. Its description in RNAcentral is "partial 16S ribosomal RNA". It matches the Rfam family "Bacterial small subunit ribosomal RNA", at positions 509 to 807 of the family's 1533-position model. The record is from RNAcentral.